UACAGAGGUGGCAAGCGUUGUUCGGAAUUACUGGGCGUAAAGGGCUCGUAGGUGGCCAACUAAGUCAGACGUGAAAUCCCUCGGCUUAACCGGGGAACUGCGUCUGAUACUGGAUGGCUUGAGAUUGGGAGAGGGAUGCGGAAUUCCAGGUGUAGCGGUGAAAUGCGUAGAUAUCUGGAGGAACACCGGUGGCGAAGGCGGCAUCCUGGACCAACACUGACACUGAGGAGCGAAAGCCAGGGGAGCAAACGGG
Molecule: ribosomal RNA, 253 nt
Filed under: uncultured bacterium
Lineage: Bacteria
Description: partial 16S ribosomal RNA
Rfam family: Bacterial small subunit ribosomal RNA
Source: RNAcentral